Long non-coding RNA from Phacochoerus africanus (Common warthog), 367 nucleotides. RefSeq lists it as uncharacterized. The record is from RefSeq and is a predicted model, not a curated record. NCBI's taxonomy places the organism in Eukaryota, Metazoa, Chordata, Mammalia, Artiodactyla, Suidae. The transcript has 3 exons.
GGUCCGGAGAUGACGGUCCCCUAGCUCUUGACUCUGGGGAGAGAUGGCGGGUUGGAGAAAAAUUCCACUGCCAGGAAUCGAACGUGUGCCACAGUUGUAACCCGCAUCGCAGCAGUGACAACACCAGAUCAUUAACCCACUGAGCCACCAGGGAAUUCCUGUGAAUUGAUAUUUGUAAAGCAUUUAAAUGUCUGCCAGGCAUGAAUCAAGCAUCACACAGGGCGGAGGCAGGGGGCGAUAAGUGGGCUGGCGGCUCUCCUUCCUGGCAAGAACCACAGCUGUCACCGAGAGAGGCUUGGAUACAUUCUGUGAGCAAUUGUCUUUGAAUGCUGAUUUUUUUUAUUAAAAUGUUUUAUUUUUGCUUUUA